This 253-nucleotide ribosomal RNA is filed under the name Phenylobacterium mobile. RNAcentral describes it as "partial 16S ribosomal RNA". It matches the Rfam family "Bacterial small subunit ribosomal RNA", at positions 524 to 776 of the family's 1533-position model. The record is from RNAcentral. RNAcentral also lists the same sequence under 3 other names. Lineage: Bacteria; Pseudomonadati; Pseudomonadota; Alphaproteobacteria; Caulobacterales; Caulobacteraceae.
UACGAAGGGGGCUAGCGUUGCUCGGAAUUACUGGGCGUAAAGGGCGCGUAGGCGGACAGUUUAGUCAGAGGUGAAAGCCCAGGGCUCAACCUUGGAAUUGCCUUUGAUACUGGCUGUCUUGAGUUCGGGAGAGGUGAGUGGAAUGCCGAGUGUAGAGGUGAAAUUCGUAGAUAUUCGGCGGAACACCAGUGGCGAAGGCGACUCACUGGCCCGAUACUGACGCUGAGGCGCGAAAGCGUGGGGAGCAAACAGG